Molecule: long non-coding RNA, 3154 nt
Filed under: Manihot esculenta (cassava)
Lineage: Eukaryota; Viridiplantae; Streptophyta; Magnoliopsida; Malpighiales; Euphorbiaceae
Description: long non-coding RNA (MESC_LNC003774)
Source: RNAcentral
UCGAUUCUCAUUUUGUCUACAUCCUUCUACCAUGUAAUUUACUAACAAGGUUGGUCCUCUGAUCUCUGUCUACUGCUUGUAAUAUAUGCUGAUCUAAAAUUAUAGGUAAAAUCUGGUUAGUUUGUGCAAGUAUGAUUCUGUUGCCCACUUGCUUAUGUGGUGGAUGGAGCAAAUCAAGACCUAAUAACUACAAGAACUAUCAAAACUGGUAUUCAUGGAAACUGUAGCUGACAGUGGUGUGUGCUUUGUAACAGAGAAUUGCUAUUAAUAGGAUGCCAUUUAAGACAUCAGCAACAGCAAGUUGCCGCCAACUACCAAGGCAGUUCAAAAACUAGAUCAUUAUGCUCCUAACUAUAUAGAAGGGAGACCAUGCCAAUAGAAAACACUAUAUAACUAAAGAUAAUCCUACCUCAAAAUAAGGUUAACUAGAAUUAGAAAAAUAUCAUAUAUCCAACAUAGUCUCAAGGAGGUGCUGCUCCAUCUUUGAUCUCAUACUUAGUAAGAAAGCUUGAUGUCAUGCUUAGGAAGGAAGACACUAGUAAGAGCUACCUUUGACUGGAGAGAGGCCUUCAACAAUUCCAGGCCCUGUUAAAAGGCACAAAGGAAAUUCGAUCAAGGUCUAUAUAUUGCAAUCAACAUGUUAUGAGUAAGGAAUAAAGAAGUAUUAGAUUAGUCUCUAUAUUCAGUUGUAAUUGUAGAAAGUAGUUGUGGCACCCAAAGUAGUAUAAAUAGGAACUUACUUGUAAAGAUAAAGAUAUCCAAGAUCAUUAGCAAUCAAAGAUAAACUCUUUCUCUCUACUUCUUAUCUUUCAUCUUUUCUAAUUCUCUCUAUUACUUCUCCCCUUUCUAUUUCUUUUCUCAGCCCAUUCUACUUCUCUCUCUUUCUCUCCCUAUUUCUCUGUUUCAAAAGGAAUUGCAAGUCUGUCAUGUAACAAGUGGUAUCAGAGCCAACGAUUUAGAGGCCUAAAUUCCAGGUUCUUUUCUUCUUCUUCUCCUCUCAGAUUUUCUUCUUCCUUCCUCCUUUUCCGAGAUUUCUCCCUUCUUUCCCUCCCUUCUUCUUCUAUUCUGCUUCUUCCCUCUAAUUCUUCUUUCUUCUUCCUAAAAUUUCUUUCUUUACCGUCCUUUCUUCUUUCUGUUCUUUCUUCUCUCUUCUUUCUUCUUGACAGAAUUUUUCUUCUUCUGUCCCUGAGAAGUUUUUCUCCUUCUUCCUCUAUUCUUUCCUUCUUUCUUUUCCAGAAUUUCUUUCCUCUCAUUUGCAGAAAUUUCUUCCAUUUCCUUCCUUCUGUUAUUGCUUUGUUUCUUCUUCUUCUUGGCAAAACCUUGUUUCUGCGCCUCUUUCUUUCCUUUGGAACCCCUUUCUUUCUUAAAUUCUUGAACCAAAUUCUUUCUUGUUCUAUUGUUUUCUGGUUUCUUAUCUUUUCCUUUCUUUAAUUCCUCACUUUUAGCAUUUCAAGAACUUGUUUAUUGGAAUUCUUGAAAUUUUCGUUCUUUCCUUUAUUCACAUUCUUUUUGUGUUCUCCCUUUCUUAAAAUUCUUGGAUCAUGGAAGUGCAAUAUUUGGCACAAAUAUUUCUUAAAGAAGUUCGAGAAAUUCUAGAUAGAAGAUGGUUGAAACAAGGAUUUGAAAAAGUGAUUCAGAAGUUAGAAAAUUUAUAUCAAAAAGUAGAAAAUUUAGAUCAGAAAAUGGAAAGGUUUGAGCAAUCAAUUCAAGUGACAGAAGAAAAGAUUGCAGUUUUGAUCAAUGAAAAUCAAAUUUUUGAAAAGCCUAGUGAAGAACAAGAUGUCUCUUGUGAAAUUUUGAAUAAGAAAGACAGGGCCAUUGAAGUGGAGCAGGAGCUUUUUGUUGAUAUGCCUAAUGUAAGUGAGAUUAACGAGGAAAAGAACGAUAAAGAUGCUGAUGACGGGCAACUGGAGUUUGAAAUGAGGACACUAUUAGUUGAAUCUGAAGUAUUUGCACAAAUCAUUUCCAAAAAUGAAUUUUUUAUUUUUGGACAUGUUCUUAAAAAAAAGAAAGAUAAAUGUGUUACAAAAAGUGUGGGUAUUGGAAACACGUGGCAGUAUUUUGGGAGCCAAGAUGGUGAGUUCGGCUGUUGUCAUCCUGGAAUUCUUAUGGAAGAUAAAUGGGAAAUAGCAAGAAGAGAAAGGAAGAAGGGUAUGACAUUAAAUUCUAUUGCGAUCUUGAAGGAACAUGCAUGGAAAAUUUGGAGAAAAAAAAGAGUUUAGCAUCUUCAGCCAAGCCUUAUGGGUCAUUUCAGCUGAAGUGCGUGCAGGAAGUGAACAUACAUUUGGGUUCUAAAUUCAGGGGAUUACUGACCAGCAAAAGCUGCUAUGGGGAUUUUCACAUCCUUUUGACCAAGCCUGAGGAAAGAAGCCACAGAAAUUCUUUCAAUUUUCAGCAUUUUUUUCAUUCUUGAGGACAAGAAUGAUUUCAAGGGGUGGGGAAUGUUAUGAGUAAGGAAUAAAGAAGUAUUAGAUUAGUCUCUAUAUUCAGUUGUAAUUGUAGAAAGUAGUUGUGGCACCCAAAGUAGUAUAAAUAGGAACUUGUAAAGAUAAAGAUAUCCAAGAUCAUUAGCAAUCAAAGAUAAACUCUUUCUCUCUACUUCUUAUCUUUCAUCUUUUCUAAUUCUCUCUAUUACUUCUCCCCUUUCUAUUUCUUUUCUCAGCCCAUUCUACUUCUCUCUCUUUCUCUCCCUAUUUCUCUGUUUCAAAAGGAAUUGCAAGUCUGUCAUGUAACACAAAGCUUCUGUUGUAGUUGUGGUGAAGCUUUUGACACAAUCUACCUAAUUGAGGUCACAAGACUCACAACUCAAUUAAUAGGAUUCUCUUGUACUUCUUCCACACUUCAUUUUUCUUUGUUGGUUAACCUUUCCUGUCAUGUCAUAGGAUUUAAAUAUUGCACACUAGCAAAUUAAUGUGGUUACCAUUCAUCAAAAACAUGUUUGCUUAUGUACAUCUAGUUCAUAAAGGUAGUCAUAUUACGAGGAUGUUUGGUUUAUCUUUUCAAUACAAUUGAUGGCUAAUAAAUAUCCAAACAACUGAUUUAUCUGCUAUGUAAACUCCUAAAAAGGUAGCUUAUAGUUGAUAAGUACUGUAUCAAUUACAUUUUUAUCAGCUCUACUUUUUAAGCUUUUUCUUAUUACUUGACAAUUCAUGAG